AUCGGCAGCUAGCUCUCUGCUACUCUAGCAUGGUCCCUCACUAAAGCUAAGCAGGGCUGUGCCCGGUCAGUAACUGGAUGGGAGACCGCAUGGGAAAGCUAGGUUGUUGUCGGAG
This is a ribosomal RNA of Danio rerio (zebrafish), 115 nucleotides long. NCBI's taxonomy places the organism in Eukaryota, Metazoa, Chordata, Actinopteri, Cypriniformes, Danionidae. The record is from Ensembl.